Molecule: long non-coding RNA, 3451 nt
Organism: Struthio camelus australis
Lineage: Eukaryota; Metazoa; Chordata; Aves; Struthioniformes; Struthionidae
Source: RefSeq, a predicted model, not a curated record
UCGGCAGUGGUCCAAGUAAAACGGGUGCGGGUGUGUCCCCGCGGAUAGCGGACGGCUUUUCGGGUUCACCUUAGAUAAAUUUAAGGCGUUUCAAGAAAACCACCCGUUGAUCCAAAGGAAGCGCAGAAAUCUGCCAGUCCUUUCAGCAGCUGGGUCUCUCCUCGAGUCAGUGCGAUAACUCUGCAUAUUUGUGAUCCCGGAGGAACCUUCCGACCUCUUUGACUCCGUUACUUCUCUUCCCUCAAAAUCCGCCGUUGGCCUUGCUGUGUGUUUGGCAUCUAAAGUGCUUUUGUCUCGGAUGACUAAACUCUUCGAUAUGCCCAAGCUUGGUUCACGUGCGCUCACACGUCAAACAAGAACUUCUAAAAAGUGCCGUCAAAAAUUGGUGGUUUUCUUUGAUACCUCAGCUAAUCUUCAGCAAGAGUGAUUCUGGAUUGAGACUCGUUCGGUGACCGCUAGGACGGCUACAGCGGUUGCCGGCAUAAAUUGCCUGUCACUCCUUAAGUCGGCGUUUGCGUAGAAGCCCUGCAAAAGCUACUGAGAUGGAGUAUUUUAUCCAUGGCCGAAUUCCAUGAGUAGGUUACAAAGCUUUUUAUCAUCUUUCAAUUCCAAAUUUAAAAUAAUUGGCAUUUCGUGUCUUUUUGAAGAUUUGACCACUUUUAGUUUGUUUUAAAAGAGCAGAGUUUCUCACGACACAGCAAGAGCACUGGCUAUCUGACUUGCUCAAAUAACUGAAACUGCUGAACUUUUCAUCCCUACAUCACCACCUCAGAUACCCAGAUUUGUCAUGGAAAUUUUAUAACCGUGAAAUUGAUUUGUCCAAGUCGGUCCAAUCACAGGACACAAGCAAAACUUUGAAUUUUUGUUGGUGGGUUCUGUACAAUACGCAAGGCUGAACGGCCCUAAUAACAACCUGACUUUUUCCAAGUAAGUUUUUUAAGGGCGAAAUGUAAGCGUAUUAGCAGCGUAAUAUGGUGAAGUUCGCAUUUCUGUUCCUCAAUGCAAACCUGUUUUUCUGACAGUUGGAUACAGUUGGAAAUCCUAAGCCAACUUUUUGUACAUUUUUAUUCAUUGAUACGUAUUUGAGGAUUGCCUGGGUUCUAGGUCUGCUUGCCAGUUUAGAGCAGAGUGACCAGGGAAGCUGAAGAAUACCUGCAUUGAUUUGACAAUUGCAUAACUUCUGUCCAAAAAGAAAGAGAAACUGAGGGUUCCGGCAGUGAGUGGGGUCUUGUCUCCAGCCAAAGCUACAGCCUGGACAGGUUGGUGAGCAUCGAUGUGGACUGACCCUCCCGAGGAAAUCAUUCUAGAUAUACAAUCGUAGAAUUCAUGAAUAGCCCAAACAGAACACAGAACAAAUUCCCAAUUUGAAUUGUAAAAAUGUGUUCAUUUAAGUAUAACACAUUCAAUGGGGUUUUUUUUUUUCAUCUCAUUUUACCAUGCUCUCUUAUCUCUGUAACUGUCACAGCAGGUUGCCGCAAGUAACAUAAGCACAGCUUAAGGCAUUCCUUCAGUUGUCUACAAGAAACUGACAGGUUUCUCUCACUCAUACCAGCCUUUGGAGCACCUCUAGUUGCAAUACAUUAUUUUUCAGACCUUCUAAGCAAACCUUUCAUGUCUGAAAAGUUGUGAUUCACCAACACUUCACUACUUCAAAGACUUCUCAAGUCACAAUUUCCCCCCCCCCUUCUUGCUCGAGGAGACUGGAUAAUAAAUGCAGCGUAUGAACAUUGAAUCCUAAGGGCGAUUCUUUCAAGUAUUCAAAUACUGCAUACCCAGCUAGGAAGCAGGGCCAGCAGAUGUGACUAGUCGUUAUCCUACUAUAUAAGUAAGUAGAAUUGGGAAAACUUAAAACUUGCUAGCAUUGCUUAGAAAAAUCAGAUUGUUCCCAGGAGCAACUGUUUUUGUGCAAUCAUUUGAUACAAACACAUUAAUUGAUACGCAUUGACACAAAUCAUUUCAGGUAAAAGUAGCACUUGUGUGGCAGUGAAUGCCAACUUAAUUUACUGCAACUUCACUGUUUUACUUUGAAAGAGAAGUUAAUAUUAACUGUAUUUAGUAUCACUGCUAAAGUCCUGAACAUCCAGAUCCCAAAGAUUUAUCCACAUAACAUUUAGACUGUAUUUCCAAACAGGAAAUCCUGCCAGGUGAUGUAUGUAUGUGUUAAAGGUGGUUAUGGAUGUUUUGGCCUGUAAGUCAAAAGUCAUUCAAGGAUCCUGUUUAAAUGUGUUAGGAAGCAAAACACAAUGCAAAUCGUAGCAACGAAAAUUCCUUUUCUGUCACUACUGUAAAUUUGUCUGUCUCUCUGUAUAUUAGAAAAUUAUACAGCUGCUAAGUACAAAGUAUUACACGCAUUAUAAUAGCUGCCUCAAUAUCUCCUUAAAAAUAGGAAGUAUGAGAAGGAGUGAUUUCCGCAAUCCUGUUAAAAUAUUCAUGUGCAACGUUGAAAAAUAAAAGCUAAUACGAGUCUGUAUGUUCAAAGAUUUUUAAUGGUGGCUGUAACAUCUUACAAGUCUGGUUUUCUCUGAGUAUUAUUGCUAAAUGGGCCUUUUUAAAAGCUGUAGAUUAGUUUGCCUACAGUGUAGUUUACUUUUGCUUUCAAUCACAGAUAAGGCUUCUAAACUUCAAAGGAAACCACUUAUGACUCAUCACAAUUCAUUAUAUAUGUGCCAGAAGUAUUCUGCUAUCACUUUCUAGUAUAUUGAAAUUGCACUCAUUUUUUCCAUAUGGAAAUACAGAAAUGACCAUAAAAAUUGCUAGAGUGGAUCAUACCAAUGGUCUACCUGUAUUAUAAACUCAAGUUAAAAUACAGUUUACUUCAAAACUACUUAAUGGCCUGAAAUCAUUAUUGUUGCUCAAUGGUGUACAGUUCUCGUUCUUCAAAAAGUAAUUAGAGACAUUGUGUAAUAUUUAAACAGUGUUAAAAAUUAACUUGCUAGAACUAAAUAAGUCUAGUUUCAUGUGAACCUGGAAUCAUGAAAACAUAUGUGAUUUUAUUACAUUUAAAUGAUGGUUCAGUACUCAGCUUCUUCUAAAUUCAUUUAGAAAUCUCAGUCUUUCUACUCAAGUAAAUUCUGGAAAAUUGUAGGUUGAUCGUCCCGUGUCUGUCUAUAAUUAUAAUGAAAGGCCCACUCCCUAAUCACUGGGGAGAGGUAACGGAGUGAGAACCAAGCUAGUUACGACUGGUGAGGACUUCACUAUAUAAAUCAGUUAAGAGCUAAAGGAUUUGACUGACUACUAGGUGAUAUUAAAUAAUAACACAUUAUUCUUGGCUGAAAUGUUCUUUAUUGUAAAGGGGUUGCUGUUGAGACAAUCAUUUACAGUUACAUGAAUGUUGGAAAUAUGGGAAGAGAAGUAGGACUGCAGGUUUUCUGGAGAAGGCAGAGAAAAGAGAAUGAGAGGAAAGUUAGCAGCUGAAGUAAUUUGUCAGAGCUCAUGAAAGAGAUUGGUAAGA